This 398-nucleotide ribosomal RNA is filed under the name uncultured bacterium. RNAcentral describes it as "partial 16S ribosomal RNA". It matches the Rfam family "Bacterial small subunit ribosomal RNA", at positions 360 to 776 of the family's 1533-position model. The record is from RNAcentral.
AAUAUUGCACAAUGGGGGAAACCCUGAUGCAGCGACGCCGCGUGAGCGAAGAAGGCCUUCGGGUCGUAAAGCUCUUUCCUCAGGGAAGAAACGGACGGUACCUCAGCACGUAGCCCCGGCUAACUACGUGCCAGCAGCCGCGGUAAGACGUAGGGGGCGAACGUUAUCCGGAAUUUUUGGGCGUAACGGGUGAUUAGGCGGCCUUUUAAGAAAGAUGUGAAAGGCUACGGCUUAAACGUAGUUAGCAUUUGAAACUAAAAGGCUUGAGUGCAGGAGAGGAGAGUGGAAUUCCUAGUGUAGCGGUGAAAUGCGUAGAUAUUAGGAGGAACACCAGUGGCGAAGGCGACUCUCUGGACUGCAACUGACGCUGAGGCACGAAAGCGUGGGGAGCGAACAGG